CCAUCGGUGGUUCAGUGGUAGAAUUCCCGCCUGCCACGCGGGUGGCCCGGGUUCGAUUCCCGGCCGAUGCA
Molecule: transfer RNA, 71 nt
Filed under: Cordylochernes scorpioides
Lineage: Eukaryota; Metazoa; Arthropoda; Arachnida; Pseudoscorpiones; Chernetidae
Description: tRNA-Gly
Rfam family: tRNA
About the family: Transfer RNA (tRNA) molecules are approximately 80 nucleotides in length. Their secondary structure includes four short double-helical elements and three loops (D, anti-codon, and T loops). Further hydrogen bonds mediate the characteristic L-shaped molecular structure. tRNAs have two regions of fundamental functional importance: the anti-codon, which is responsible for specific mRNA codon recognition, and the 3' end, to which the tRNAs corresponding amino acid is attached (by aminoacyl-tRNA synthetases). tRNAs cope with the degeneracy of the genetic code in two manners: having more than one tRNA (with a specific anti-codon) for a particular amino acid; and 'wobble' base-pairing, i.e. permitting non-standard base-pairing at the 3rd anti-codon position.
Source: RNAcentral